GCCAUGCCAUGCUGAAUAUACCGGUUCUCGUUAGAUCACCGAAGUCAAGCAUUUUGGGCGCGGUCAGUACUUGGGAGGGCGAACCACCUGGGAACACCGCGUGCCGUU
This 108-nucleotide ribosomal RNA is filed under the name Caerostris extrusa. Lineage: Eukaryota; Metazoa; Arthropoda; Arachnida; Araneae; Araneidae. The record is from RNAcentral.